This 486-nucleotide ribosomal RNA is filed under the name uncultured bacterium. RNAcentral's name for it is "bacterial SSU rRNA". It matches the Rfam family "Bacterial small subunit ribosomal RNA", at positions 8 to 526 of the family's 1533-position model. The record is from RNAcentral.
AGAGUUUGAUCCUGGCUCAGAAUCAACGCUGGCGGCGUGUCUAACACAUGCAAGUCGAACGAGAAAGUGGAGCAAUCCAUGAGUACAGUGGCGACCGGGUGAGUAACACGUGACUAACCUACCUCCGAGUGGGGAAUAACUCCGGGAAACCGGAGCUAAUACCGCAUAACAUCGCAAGAUCAAAGCAGCAAUGCGCUUGGAGAGGGGGUCGCGGCUGAUUAGCUAGUUGGUAGGGUAACGGCCUACCAAGGCGAAGAUCGGUAUCCGGCCUGAGAGGGCGCACGGACACACUGGAACUGAAACACGGUCCAGGCUCCUACGGGAGGCAGCAGUGGGGAAUUUUGCGCAAUGGGGGAAACCCUGACGCAGCAACGCCGCGUGGAGGAUGAAGUCCCUUGGGAUGUAAACUCCUUUCGACCCGGACGAUACUGACGGUACGGGUGGAAGAAGCACCGGCUAACUCUGUGCCAGCCGCCGCGGUAAUAC